GAUUCAUAUAGAUGUUGAAAAUGAGAGGCGGAGGUCAAAGUGUAUUGUUACCUGUCUUGUCGAUCUUAGCUCCUACCCAAAUAUAAUAAUUGUGCCUCAAGUCAAGCAUCGAUAUUUUGAUGAUUUAACUGAUGAAAUUCAAAGAGCAGUUGCUUUGGUUGAACCUGGAAAAAAUUAUAUCUGGAAUAUAACACUAGCAGCCCAUAGUGUGUAGUUAUGCAUUUACGAAGAUUGAAAUUUUAUUUGUUUAUCUCCCUUUUUUUACAAACUUGUAUUUAUAUUUUUACCAAAUUUUAUGUAUUUUAAAAUUGUAUUAAAAAUCAUUUAAAAUU
This is a non-coding RNA of Parasteatoda tepidariorum (common house spider), 332 nucleotides long. NCBI's taxonomy places the organism in Eukaryota, Metazoa, Arthropoda, Arachnida, Araneae, Theridiidae. The record is from RefSeq and is a predicted model, not a curated record.